AGAAUCAACGCUGGCGGCGUGCCUCAGACAUGCAAGUCGAACGCGAAAGCCCCCUUCGGGGGGCAAGUAGAGUGGCGCACGGGUGAGUAACACGUAGGUAAUCUACCUUCGGAUGGGGAAUAACAACCGGAAACGGUUGCUAAUACCGCAUAAUGCAGCGGCACCUAAUGGUGACAGUUGUUAAAGCGGGGGAUCGAAAGACCUCGCGUCUGAAGAGGAGCCUGCGGCGGAUUAGCUAGUUGGUAAGGUAAUGGCUUACCAAGGCUACGAUCC
This 273-nucleotide ribosomal RNA is filed under the name uncultured soil bacterium. RNAcentral describes it as "partial 16S ribosomal RNA". It matches the Rfam family "Bacterial small subunit ribosomal RNA", at positions 26 to 282 of the family's 1533-position model. The record is from RNAcentral.